Molecule: ribosomal RNA, 659 nt
Filed under: Lactobacillus gasseri
Lineage: Bacteria; Bacillati; Bacillota; Bacilli; Lactobacillales; Lactobacillaceae
Description: bacterial SSU rRNA
Rfam family: Bacterial small subunit ribosomal RNA
Source: RNAcentral
GGACGCAAGUCUGAUGGAGCAACGCCGCGUGAGUGAAGAAGGGUUUCGGCUCGUAAAGCUCUGUUGGUAGUGAAGAAAGAUAGAGGUAGUAACUGGCCUUUAUUUGACGGUAAUUACUUAGAAAGUCACGGCUAACUACGUGCCAGCAGCCGCGGUAGUACGUAGGUGGCAAGCGUUGUCCGGAUUUAUUGGGCGUAAAGCGAGUGCAGGCGGUUCAAUAAGUCUGAUGUGAAAGCCUUCGGCUCAACCGGAGAAUUGCAUCAGAAACUGUUGAACUUGAGUGCAGAAGAGGAGAGUGGAACUCCAUGUGUAGCGGUGGAAUGCGUAGAUAUAUGGAAGAACACCAGUGGCGAAGGCGGCUCUCUGGUCUGCAACUGACGCUGAGGCUCGAAAGCAUGGGUAGCGAACAGGAUUAGAUACCCUGGUAGUCCAUGCCGUAAACGAUGAGUGCUAAGUGUUGGGAGGUUUCCGCCUCUCAGUGCUGCAGCUAACGCAUUAAGCACUCCGCCUGGGGAGUACGACCGCAAGGUUGAAACUCAAAGGAAUUGACGGGGGCCCGCACAAGCGGUGGAGCAUGUGGUUUAAUUCGAAGCAACGCGAAGAACCUUACCAGGUCUGGACAUUCAGUGCAAACCUAAGAGAUUAGGUGUUCCCUUCGG